Molecule: small RNA, 3443 nt
Filed under: Pan troglodytes (chimpanzee)
Lineage: Eukaryota; Metazoa; Chordata; Mammalia; Primates; Hominidae
Description: retained intron
Source: RNAcentral
AUGCAGCCACAGGUAGUCAUCGAAUCCGGCUUCCUAUGCUGUGCAAUCAACAAAUCAAAAUAACUUGUGUCAUCAUUAGAAUGUCAGAUGUGCUUCUACGAACUAAGCUGACUCUUUUAAUUCUUUGGCAAAGGGUUGGCAAACUAGGACUGUUUGCCAAAUUCAGCCUGCCUCCUAUUUUUAGAGUCUUCCUGAAACACAGCUACACCCGUAUUAUCCAUGGCUGCUUUCCUGUCACAGUGAGUAAGUAGCUGGGACUGAGAUGGCAUGGCCUCCAAAGUCUAAAAUAUUUACUCUCUAGCACUUUGUAGAAAAACCUUAGCUAGGCACAGUGGCUAACGCCUGUAAUCCCAGCAUUUUGGGAGGCCAAGGCAGGCAGAUCACCUGAGGUCAGGAGUUCCAGACCAGCCUGGCCAACAUGGUGAAAUCCCAUCUCUACAAAAAUACAACAGUUAGCUGGGCAUGAUGGCGGGUGCCUGUAAUACCAGCUACUCGGGAGGCUGAGGCAGAAUAGUCGCUUGAACCCAGGAGGUGGAGGUUGCAAUGAGCCAAGAUCAUGCCACUGCACUCCAGCCUGGACGACAGAGUGAGACUCCAUCACCAGAAAAAAACUUUGUCAACCUCUGUCUUAGGGCGCCUUGUCACAGGCUUCGGGUCAGACGGAUUCAACCUCGCAUCAGCCAUUUGUUAGCCAGGUCACUCUGUUCUUUGUCUGUAAAUGAGAUUGAUCGUUGUUCCCACUGAGAGUGUCAGCUCCUUCCCAUAGAGCAGGCAUGAUGAUUGUACUCACCUCUGACACCAUUGUGAGUGCCACAUUCCUUCCCAUGUCCUUGUCACCGUAAGAGAUGCCCACCUGAGCACCAACCCCAGGUUAUCUUCCCCUUUGUCUUCCAGCCCCCCAGAAACAGCUACGACUCAACCUACCCAAUCAUUUCAUCAUCAGAUUGCCACUGUCUCCAGUUCAGGUCUCUUGGGACUGGCACUCAGAAAUCUCAUAAUAAAUCCUCUUGAGGCUUCUCAUACACUCGUCUUCUUCCAAUCUUCUUUCCCUCAAAAUCUCAUAUUUUGGUUCCACUUCACCCACGGUCAUUCUCCAUAUCACUCCCAGGAGUUAGGCAAAAAGCCCCUUCCGUUCUUCCGUAUGUUAAACUUAGAAUCACUCUGUUCCCUGCUCUACGUUUCUAUUUUUUGUUUUUCCUCCAUUUACUAGUAGCUUAACACUUUCUAACAGUGUUCUUAUUAUUGAUACAUAUCUAUCUCUUCCAUAAGCUUAUAAGGUCAUGGAUAAUACUUCUCAUUGUAGUACGUAAAUGACGUGGGCUAGAUAUGAGUUGAAUAAACAAUUAUACCUGUAAAUUCUUACAGAGUGAAAAUAAAUUGUUAUACUUUACAAUUUGUUUCUCUCUUUAGACCAUUUCCAGGACUUGUGAUUAAUAACCAGCUGGUUGAUCAGAGUGAGUCAGAAGGCCCCGUGAUACAAGAAUCAGCUGAACCAAGCCAGUUGGAAGUUCCAGCCACAGAAGAAAUAAAAGAGACUGAUGGAAGCUCUCAGAUCAAGCAAGAACCAGACCCCACGUGGUAGACCUCUUCCCUCCUAGGGUAAAUCAGCUUCUGUGUCAGGGAUGCUGUGUGGUGUCCAUCUGAACCCCCUGCAUACGUGUAGCUAAUGUGAUCUCCCCACUUUCACAUAAGAUGGUGGCCCUGCCUUCAGGGAAUGUGGGAGCCAGGUGGGAGCCUUCCCGGAUAUUUAAGCUAGAAGAUUCUACAGGGAGAUUCUCCUUGGAUCAAUAUAUGUCUCUCAGUCAAAGAUGUAAAAGCACUUUUGCCUUAAAAAGAAUGUUCUGUUUCUAAAUAGAGUCAACGUUGUCCUCCUCAUUGGAAUUCACUAUGAGUCAGAAUCAUUAGACUGACUUUUUUUUUUUUCCAUAGUAAUAGUAUUUUGCAGAGUCUCACAGAGCUGCAGAUCUUUUGUUCAUCUUGCAGAGUUGAGUUAACAAGUCUGAUCCUAUUAUUCCAGAUUUCUUAAAUUUGGCCAAGUUAUAAUAGGAGCAGUAGCUUGAGACCCGAAGUCAGGAAACUUUGACAAUGGAUUUUUUUUUUUAAUCCAGAGACUUGUACUGGAAUUUGCCUUACCCUGUCAGCUCAUGGACUUAAGGUUUCAUCCCGCUUUAUGAGUGCUUCUGAAUCCAAGUCAUUGUUACCCGAAUUUGCAGAUUAAGUUGUGAUAUUCGUGACUGUUAAAUUCCUGUAAUUAGAUUAACCUCUUUGCUUGCUUGUUUGUUUUCUCUCCUAUUUUAGCUUAAAGUAUCAGUGGUUGAGAAGAGCUUUUCGGACCUGUUACUACCCCAAGCUGUGUAAUAUACUUGUAUAACAGAAAUACCUUCUAUACAAACCUUUUUUUCUACUUUUAGAUAGAAAUGUCUACUUUUUCAGCAGUUCUGUGAAUUAAAGAGCAGAGUGACUGUGGGUCUGGAAUGGCUGGUGUACUUGGGAAUGUACUAUCAGGAUUUUACAGCAAUGCUGGGAAAUGACAGGGAAAAUGACAGGAAUGAAUCUCACCAGAUUUUUUAUGUACUUAGCAGAGCCUUGAGUUACGGUGUUUAUUUUCCAAUCAAGUGAAGAUAUCUCCUACUUCUCCUACUGGAACGUCUCAGCUUCUGCAGUGAAGAAAAAUUCCUGUGAUAGUUCAGUUCUUUAGUUUUUCUAUUUGAAAAAAAAAAAAUCAUUUAAAUGAUCCUUUGUUCACGGCUCUCCUUAAUGACUGAGUGAACAGUUCCUAUCUGUAUAUUUGACUAAACCUUUUCCUAAGCUAUCUCUCAUGGUUCCUAUGUUUUUUUUAUCAUAAUUAAAAGCAAAACCAUCUGGAUCACCUAACAGUCAGAGGUCAGUAUCUCAGCGUGUGAAUUAUAGAGUAAAUACAGAGAGAACCUCUUCCACUUUUACUUUUCGUCCAAAUAAAAUGCAUGGUGUACCAGAAGUUGAAGAUCGGGUUGAGGAUUGGGGCUAGCUCGAUGACACUAAGGCCCCAACAUCGCGGGACCUGCUGUGGCGCGGAUUCUUAGGAACGCUGUUCUAGCCGGCCCCCUCUCCAGGGGUCGCCGUGGCCGGCAUUAUUUCCUAGUUCUUCUUGUAACCCUGAGGUGCCAGCGCGGGGAGUGAGGAGGGGUCAGGGGGCUAAGGAUGCAACCUCUGACGUUCUGCGCCUUCCUAGGAGAGUCUUACAUGUGUUGAGAUUUCACAAGCAAUGCGAGUUGUAAAAUACCAGCUCUACAAGAAGCUAGGCUCUGUGACGGCAUAGUUUUCAGUAGCUUUAUCACAAUAUUCACAAUGGAGAAUUAUAUGACAUGGUAGCAGAAAUAGGCCCUUUUAUGUGUUGCUUCUAUUUUACCUCAAAUUGUAGAUAUAGGGUAAUCAAUAAAAUCCAUCCAUGCCUUUCACACACU